Molecule: transfer-messenger RNA, 372 nt
Filed under: Mycolicibacterium mucogenicum
Lineage: Bacteria; Bacillati; Actinomycetota; Actinomycetes; Mycobacteriales; Mycobacteriaceae
Rfam family: transfer-messenger RNA
About the family: Bacterial tmRNA, also known as 10Sa RNA or SsrA, is named for its dual tRNA and mRNA-like properties. Its role is to liberate the mRNA from a stalled ribosome.
Source: RNAcentral
GGGGCUGAACGGUUUCGACUUCGCGCAUCGAAUCAAGGGAAGCGUGCCGGUGCAGGCAAGAGACCACCGUAAGCGUCGUUGUAACCAAUUAAGCGCCGAUUCUCAUCAGCGCGACUACGCCCUCGCUGCCUAAGUAGCGACCGCGUGUCUGUCAGACCGGGAGCGCCCUCGGCCCGGACCCUGGCAUCGACUAGAGGGAACCACCCACGGGUUCGGUCGCGGAACCUGUGGGGACAUCAAACAGCGACUGGGAUCGUCAUCUCGGCUUGUUCGCGUGACCGGGAGAUCCAAGUAGAGGCAUAGCGAACUGCGCACGGAGAAGUCUUGAGGGAAUGCCGUAGGACCCGGGUUCAAUUCCCGGCAGCUCCACAA